Long non-coding RNA from Dermacentor silvarum, 1050 nucleotides. RefSeq lists it as uncharacterized. The transcript has 5 exons. The record is from RefSeq and is a predicted model, not a curated record. NCBI's taxonomy places the organism in Eukaryota, Metazoa, Arthropoda, Arachnida, Ixodida, Ixodidae.
UGCGUUGUGUAGCCAGCCGGUUUAUCUUUUUAUGUUGUACAGUUUGUUAGUUUACCGUAAAUAUGUCUUGAUUUGUACUCAAGAGUGGAGCAAGGCCCUAUGGAACAGAGAUUGACGCAUCGUGAGCGAAGAACAGACGCGAUGGAUGGUUAGGCUGCUUGACUUUCGGCUGUACGACUCUCGGCAUGUUAGGACUGGCAAAGUUCCGAAUUUGUCGCGGUGUGGUGUACGCUUCUGUGCUCGUCAAGUGCCGUCAGAGCGCGGGGAUGUUUGAACGGAAUGUGUCCCUUCGUCUACAAAACUCUGCACGCUGCGGCAUCGAAGACCUGUGUACGGGUGCACGUAUGCGCUUGGAUACGGGAUAGCCUGCCCUCAACGGAUGUUCAACAGUGUACGCACGCUGCGCGUACGCGUACGUAUGAGACUAGUUGCUGGUGUCCUGCUGGAGCUGAGAAGAGAUCUGCUGCCUGCCAUGAGACCAUGUCUCUCAAGUUACCGCAAUAUUGUUGCCUUCAAAGGGAGACAGCUCUCACAACUGGAGAAGCCCGGGAAGCAUGCAGUACUCCACGAAACCGGUUUCAACGUAAAAUGUGUCUGCAUCUCAUAAUUUCAUGGCUGCAAGAGUGAGCUCAAUGCCUGUCGAGACAAGGUUUCUUUACAUGGCCAUGGCGCUCAAGGAUGAAACCGAGACUGUAGACUGCCAAUGUUCAUUCCUGUUCCGGCAAAGACGGGCCAGCAGUAACCAGCAGGAUUUUACAAAGUGAACUCAUCACAGCUUGAGCCACUCCAUGCCACAAGCAGUUGCUCCUCGAGCCACCGUGCAAAGGUUCCUUGGGGCACAAGUCCAACUCAGCGCCACAACCUUUCUUCUGCAGUUUUUCUACCUACUUAGCUAACCAGCAGCAAGUUUAUCCUUGCAAGGCAUGUGGGAACAGCUUUCACCAGGAAACAGUGCAAGACGAGUGGUCGAAGAAAAUAAAAUUGCUUCUGUGAUCUAAAGUACUUGACGAAUAAAAUUUUGCACUUAUUUGUAUAUAGGUCGUGCAAUUC